UACGUGGGGGGCAAGCGUUGUCCGGAUUUAUUGGGCGUAAAGAGCGUGUAGGCGGCCAGGUAGGUCUGCUGUGAAAACUCGAGGCUUAACCUCGAGAUGUCGGCGGAAACCAUCUGGCUAGAGUCCGGAAGAGGAGAAUGGAAUUCCCGGUGUAGCGGUGAAAUGCGCAGAUAUCGGGAAGAACACCCGUGGCGAAGGCGGUUCUCUGGGACGGUACUGACGCUGAGACGCGAAAGCGUGGGGAGCGAACAGG
RNAcentral lists this ribosomal RNA (253 nucleotides) under uncultured bacterium. Its description in RNAcentral is "partial 16S ribosomal RNA". It matches the Rfam family "Bacterial small subunit ribosomal RNA", at positions 524 to 776 of the family's 1533-position model. The record is from RNAcentral.